Molecule: ribosomal RNA, 513 nt
Filed under: uncultured bacterium
Lineage: Bacteria
Description: partial 16S ribosomal RNA
Rfam family: Bacterial small subunit ribosomal RNA
Source: RNAcentral
GACGAACGCUGGCGGCAUGCCUAAUACAUGCAAGUCGAGCGAACAGAUGAAGUGCUUGCACUCCUGACGUUAGCGGCGAACGGGUGAGUAACACGUAAGGAAUCUACCUAUAAGCGGGGGAUAACAUUCGGAAACGGGUGCUAAUACCGCAUAAUAUCUUCUUCCGCAUGGAAGAAGAUUGAAAGACGGCUCUGCUGUCACUUAUAGAUGACCUUGCGGUGCAUUAGUUAGUUGGUGGGGUAAUGGCCUACCAAGACGAUGAUGCAUAGCCGAACUGAGAGGGUGAUCGGCCACAUUGGGACUGAGACACGGCCCAAACUCCUACGGGAGGCAGCAGUAGGGAAUCUUCCGCAAUGGGCGAAAGCCUGACGGAGCAAUGCCGCGUGAGUGAAGAAGGCCUUCGGGUCGUAAAACUCUGUUAUAAGAGAAGAACAAAUUGUAGAGUAACUGCUACAGUCUUGACGGUAUCUUAUCAGAAAGCCACGGCUAACUACGUGCCAGCCGCCGCGGUAA